Molecule: ribosomal RNA, 799 nt
Filed under: Lentilactobacillus diolivorans
Lineage: Bacteria; Bacillati; Bacillota; Bacilli; Lactobacillales; Lactobacillaceae
Description: bacterial SSU rRNA
Rfam family: Bacterial small subunit ribosomal RNA
Source: RNAcentral
CGAACGCUGGCGGCGUGCCUAAUACAUGCAAGUCGAACGCGUCUUGGUCAAUGAUUUUAGGUGCUUGCACUUGAAUGAUUUGACAUURAGACGAGUGGCGAACUGGUGAGUAACACGUGGGUAACCUGCCCUUGAAGUAGAGGAUAACACUUGGAAACAGGUGCUAAUACUGCAUAACAACGAAAACCGCCUGGUUUUCGUUUGAAAGAUGGCUUCGGCUAUCGCUUUAGGAUGGACCCGCGGCGUAUUAGCUAGUUGGUGAGGUAACGGCUCACCAAGGCAAUGAUACGUAGCCGACCUGAGAGGGUAAUCGGCCACAUUGGGACUGAGACACGGCCCAAACUCCUACGGGAGGCAGCAGUAGGGAAUCUUCCACAAUGGACGAAAGUCUGAUGGAGCAACGCCGCGUGAGUGAUGAAGGGUUUCGGCUCGUAAAACUCUGUUGUUGGAGAAGAACGGGUGUCAGAGUAACUGUUGACAUCGUGACGGUAUCCAACCAGAAAGCCACGGCUAACUACGUGCCAGCAGCCGCGGUAAUACGUAGGUGGCAAGCGUUGUCCGGAUUUAUUGGGCGUAAAGCGAGCGCAGGCGGUUUUUUAGGUCUGAUGUGAAAGCCUUCGGCUUAACCGGAGAAGUGCAUCGGAAACCGGGAGACUUGAGUGCAGAAGAGGACAGUGGAACUCCAUGUGUAGCGGUGAAAUGCGUAGAUAUAUGGAAGAACACCAGUGGCGAAGGCGGCUGUCUGGUCUGCAACUGACGCUGAGGCUCGAAAGCAUGGGUAGCGAACAGGAUUAGAUAC